This 353-nucleotide ribosomal RNA is filed under the name uncultured Bradyrhizobium sp. RNAcentral's name for it is "partial 16S ribosomal RNA". Lineage: Bacteria; Pseudomonadati; Pseudomonadota; Alphaproteobacteria; Hyphomicrobiales; Nitrobacteraceae. The record is from RNAcentral.
UAGCGAUUCCAACUUCAUGGGCUCGAGUUGCAGAGCCCAAUCCGAACUGAGACGGCUUUUUGAGAUUUGCGAAGGGUCGCCCCUUAGCAUCCCAUUGUCACCGCCAUUGUAGCACGUGUGUAGCCCAGCCCGUAAGGGCCAUGAGGACUUGACGUCAUCCCCACCUUCCUCGCGGCUUAUCACCGGCAGUCUCCUUAGAGUGCUCAACUAAAUGGUAGCAACUAAGGACGGGGGUUGCGCUCGUUGCGGGACUUAACCCAACAUCUCACGACACGAGCUGACGACAGCCAUGCAGCACCUGUCUCCGGUCCAGCCGAACUGAAGAACUCCGUCUCUGGAGUCCGCGACCGGGA